GGUUGGUUAGCUCAGCUGGUUAGAGCAUAGUGCUAAUAACGCCAAGGUCAUGGGUUCAAUUCCCACACUGACUA
Non-coding RNA from Chiloscyllium plagiosum (whitespotted bambooshark), 74 nucleotides. NCBI's taxonomy places the organism in Eukaryota, Metazoa, Chordata, Chondrichthyes, Orectolobiformes, Hemiscylliidae. The record is from the annotation of a RefSeq genome assembly.